RNAcentral lists this long non-coding RNA (265 nucleotides) under Setaria viridis. Its description in RNAcentral is "long non-coding RNA (SVIR_LNC007160)". The record is from RNAcentral. Lineage: Eukaryota; Viridiplantae; Streptophyta; Magnoliopsida; Poales; Poaceae.
GAAGGUCGUUUUGACAUCACCAGCAGUGUAUAUAUUGCCACACUGAUUACUGAAGGUUCUUGAAGCUCGCAUAGACGCAUAUUUCUUAUUUAUAUGAGAUUGACAUAGGCCUCUACGCACUUGUUUGGUUACUCAUUUUGUCUCCAAUAACCCUCCAUGCGGAUGAUAUAUGCCUUAUUUGCCUAGCGUUUUCCUGUACGUAUAUGAUUGAUGACAGAUUCAAUUUAAAGAGGAAUGGUAUGCACCUGGAAGGAUCAAGUAUGAG